CUCAGUUCGGAUUGGAGUCUGCAACCCGACUCCCAUGAAGCUGGAUUCGCUAGUAAUCGCGCAUCAGCCACGGCGCGGUGAAUACGUUCCCGGGCCUUGUACACACCGCCCGUCAAGCCAUGGAAGCCGGGGGGUGCCUGAAGUGCGCUGCCGCAAGGAGCGCCCUAGGGUAAAACCGGUGACUGGGGCUAAGUCGUAACAAGGUAGC
Molecule: ribosomal RNA, 208 nt
Filed under: uncultured bacterium
Lineage: Bacteria
Description: partial 16S ribosomal RNA
Rfam family: Bacterial small subunit ribosomal RNA
Source: RNAcentral